GACGAACGCUGGCGGCGUGCUUAACACAUGCAAGUCGAACGGAAAGUCCCUGCUUUUGUGCGGUGCUCUAGGUGCGAACGGGUGAGUAACACUUGGGUAACCUACCCUUGACUUUGGGAGAACUUCAUGAAACUUGGUCUCAUAGCGGCUAGGAUCUCCUGCUUCAUGGUGGGGGUGGGUUAGUUUCGGCGGUUGGUGAUGGACUCGCGGCUUAUCAGCUUGUUGGUGGGGUAGUGGCUUACCAUGGCUUUGACGGGUAGCCGGCCUGAGAGGGUGACCGGCCACACUGGGACUGAGAUACGGCACAGACUACUCCGGGAGGCAGCAGUGGGGAAUAUUGCACAAUGGGCUGAAGCAAGACGCAGCCAAGCAGCGUGCGGGAUGACGGCAUUCGGGUUGUAAACCGAUUUCGCCUGUGACGAAGCGUGAGUGACAGUAAUGGGUAAAGAAGCACCGGCUAACUACGUG
This 468-nucleotide ribosomal RNA is filed under the name uncultured bacterium. Its description in RNAcentral is "partial 16S ribosomal RNA". It matches the Rfam family "Bacterial small subunit ribosomal RNA", at positions 28 to 507 of the family's 1533-position model. The record is from RNAcentral.